This 479-nucleotide ribosomal RNA is filed under the name uncultured bacterium. RNAcentral describes it as "partial 16S ribosomal RNA". It matches the Rfam family "Bacterial small subunit ribosomal RNA", at positions 28 to 507 of the family's 1533-position model. The record is from RNAcentral.
GAUGAACGCUAGCGGGAGGCCUAACACAUGCAAGCCGAGCGGUAGAGUUUCUUCGGAAACUUGAGAGCGGCGCACGGGUGAGUAACACGUGUGCAACCUACCUUUAUCUGGGGGAUAGCCUUUCGAAAGGAAGAUUAAUACCCCAUAAUAUAAUGAUUGGCAUCAAUUAUUAUUGAAAACUCCGGUGGAUAGAGAUGGGCACGCGCAAGAUUAGAUAGUUGGUGAGGUAACGGCUCACCAAGUCAAUGAUCUUUAGGGGUCCUGAGAGGGAGAUCCCCCACACUGGUACUGAGACACGGACCAGACUCCUACGGGAGGCAGCAGUGAGGAAUAUUGGACAAUGGGUGAGAGCCUGAUCCAGCCAUCCCGCGUGAAGGAUGACGGUCCUAUGGAUUGUAAACUUCUUUUGUACAGGGAUAAACCUACCCUCGUGAGGGUAGCUGAAGGUACUGUACGAAUAAGCACCGGCUAACUCCGUG